GUGACAAGAAAUCUAAAAGUUUUUACAAAAUUUUUUGGGAACUAAACAAGGCCUAAAAGGGUCAUGCACCCAUAACUCAGCCCUCUCCAACAGCGAUGCAAAUGCGGAGCUCCAUCCCGAAGCCGAGGACGACCGUGCGGCUGAAGACACCGUCAAGUUGUCUACCUCGUUUGCUACCACGGCGACCCGCAUCCUGACACAGAGGAUGACCGUGCUGCCAAGCACACUACCGAGGUCCCAUGCGCUUCCUCCCCGGUCCUCAUCUCUCCGAGGCAGCCAGUGGAGAAGACGAAGAUGUGCCAUCACGCGUGCUCUCUCUGGCGGGCACAGGCUCCGACGGUGGCUUCAGCGCGGGUACGAGCGCCACCUUGCCCUGCCACAGGCACAACCUCGA
RNAcentral lists this long non-coding RNA (394 nucleotides) under Sorghum bicolor (sorghum). RNAcentral's name for it is "long non-coding RNA (SBIC_LNC016323)". Lineage: Eukaryota; Viridiplantae; Streptophyta; Magnoliopsida; Poales; Poaceae. The record is from RNAcentral.